This 314-nucleotide unclassified non-coding RNA is filed under the name uncultured fungus. Its description in RNAcentral is "partial contains 5.8S ribosomal RNA, internal transcribed spacer 2, and large subunit ribosomal RNA". Lineage: Eukaryota; Fungi. The record is from RNAcentral.
AACGCAAAUUGCGCCCGAGGCCUCGGCCAAGGGCAUGUCUAUCUCAGCGUCGGUCCCUCCUCGCUUUUCCCCUCUUGCGGGUGAAAGCGGAGCUGGCCGUCUCGGCCCUCCCGCCGUGUCGGCCGAAGCGCAUAGGCUCUAGCGGCACCCCAUUCAACGGGCAACAGCUUAAGGUAGGUGGCUUUCGCCGCAUACCGCUGGUGACCGGGGGCUACCGUUGCUUGCCGGCAGGAUGCUGUUUUCCCCAGCGUGAGUUGGGCGCGGCAGUUUUCCCACUCGACCUGAGAUUAGACAAGACCACCCGCUGAACUUAA